ACGGGGCUUCGGCUCCGGCGCAAAGAGAGGCCCAAGUGAGAUUAGCUAGUUGGUAAGGUAACGGCUUACCAAGGCGACGAUCUCUAGCUGUUCUGAGAGGAAGAUCAGCCACACUGGGACUGAGACACGGCCCAGACUCCUACGGGAGGCAGCAGUGGGGAAUAUUGCACAAUGGGGGAAACCCUGAUGCAGCCAUGCCGCGUGUGUGAAGAAGGCCUUCGGGUUGUAAAGCACUUUCAGUUGUGAGGAAAAGUUAGUAGUUAAUACCUGCUAGCCGUGACGUUAACAACAGAAGAAGCACCGGCUAACUCCGUGCCAGCAGCCGCGGUAAUACGGAGGGUGCGAGCGUUAAUCGGAAUUACUGGGCGUAAAGCGCACGCAGGCGGUUUGUUAAGCUAGAUGUGAAAGCCCCGGGCUCAACCUGGGAUGGUCAUUUAGAACUGGCAGACUAGAGUCUUGGAGAGGGGAGUGGAAUUCCAGGUGUAGCGGUGAAAUGCGUAGAUAUCUGGAGGAACAUCAGUGGCGAAGGCGACUCCCUGGCCAAAGACUGACGCUCAUGUGCGAAAGUGUGGGUAGCGAACAGGAUUAGAUACCCUGGUAGUCCACACCGUAAACGCUGUCUACUAGCUGUGUGUGCCUUUAAGGCGUGCGUAGCGAAGCUAACGCGCUAAGUAGACCGCCUGGGGAGUACGGCCGCAAGGUUAAAACUCAAA
This 713-nucleotide ribosomal RNA is filed under the name Alteromonas sp. 36H5. Its description in RNAcentral is "bacterial SSU rRNA". It matches the Rfam family "Bacterial small subunit ribosomal RNA", at positions 202 to 905 of the family's 1533-position model. Lineage: Bacteria; Pseudomonadati; Pseudomonadota; Gammaproteobacteria; Alteromonadales; Alteromonadaceae. The record is from RNAcentral.